RNAcentral lists this ribosomal RNA (428 nucleotides) under uncultured bacterium. RNAcentral describes it as "bacterial SSU rRNA". It matches the Rfam family "Bacterial small subunit ribosomal RNA", at positions 32 to 450 of the family's 1533-position model. The record is from RNAcentral.
AAUCAACGCUGGCGGCGUGCCUCAGACAUGCAAGUCGAACGAUUAAAGCUCUCUUCGGAGAGUGCAUAGAGUGGCGCACGGGUGAGUAACACGUAAGUAAUCUACCUUCGAGUGGGGAAUAACAUCGGGAAACCGAUGCUAAUACCGCAUAAUGCAGCGGCAUCGCAAGAUGACAGUUGUUAAAGGAGCAAUUCGCUUGAAGAGGAGCUUGCGGCAGAUUAGCUAGUUGGUAAGGUAACGGCUUACCAAGGCUACGAUCUGUAUCCGGUCUAAGAGGACGGUCGGACACACUGACACUGAAUAACGGGUCAGACUCCUACGGGAGGCAGCAGUCGGGAAUUUUGGGCAAUGGGCGAAAGCCUGACCCAGCAACGCCGCGUGAAGGAUGAAGUAUUUCGGUAUGUAAACUUCGAAAGAAUAGGAAGAAU